AAUAGAUACCCGGGUAGUCCACGCCGUAAACGAUGAGUGCUAAGUGUUAGAGGGUUUCCGCCCUUUAGUGCUGCAGCUAACGCAUUAAGCACUCCGCCUGGGGAGUACGGCCGCAAGGCUGAAACUCAAAGGAAUUGACGGGGGCCCGCACAAGCGGUGGAGCAUGUGGUUUAAUUCGAAGCAACGCGAAGAACCUUACCAGGUCUUGACAUCCUCUGCCAACUCUAGAGAUAGGGCGUUCCCCUUCGGGGGACAGAGUGACAGGCGGUGCAUGGUUGUCGUCAGCUCGUGUCGUGAGAUGUUGGGUUAAGUCCCGCAACGAGCGCAACCCUUGAUCUUAGUUGCCAGCAUUCAGUUGGGCACUCUAAGGUGACUGCCAGUGACAAACCGGAGGAAGGUGGGGAUGACGUCAAAUCAUCAUGCCCCUUAUGACCUGGGCUACACACGUGCUACAAUGGAUGGUACAAAGAGCUGCGAACCCGCGAGGGUAAGCGAAUCUCAUAAAGCCAUUCUCAGUUCGGAUUGUA
Molecule: ribosomal RNA, 527 nt
Filed under: uncultured bacterium
Lineage: Bacteria
Description: bacterial SSU rRNA
Rfam family: Bacterial small subunit ribosomal RNA
Source: RNAcentral